CAAGGAGCUUGUUUAACAGCUGAGUGACUUAAAGCAAUCAAAUUCCUUUAGCUUUAAAUCAUGCAGCUGUUGAAGAAGCUCUUGC
Molecule: microRNA precursor, 85 nt
Filed under: Cathartes aura (turkey vulture)
Lineage: Eukaryota; Metazoa; Chordata; Aves; Accipitriformes; Cathartidae
Description: mir-1781 microRNA precursor family
Rfam family: mir-1781 microRNA precursor family
Source: Rfam by way of RNAcentral